This 3772-nucleotide long non-coding RNA is filed under the name Lotus japonicus. RNAcentral describes it as "long non-coding RNA (LJAP_LNC001693)". Lineage: Eukaryota; Viridiplantae; Streptophyta; Magnoliopsida; Fabales; Fabaceae. The record is from RNAcentral.
CCACUUUACUUCGAGAACGCGAUCAGUGUUGGAGCAUUCCAUGCAUUCCAAAAGGGAAUUCUUGUUUCUGCUUCUGCUGGAAACUCGGUUUUCCCACGAACUGCGUGCAAUGUUGCUCCUUGGAUCUUCACUGUUGCUGCUAGCACAGUAGACAGGGAAUUCAGAUCAGAUAUCUACCUUGGAAAUUCAAAAGUUUUGAAGGUGAAGUUGAAAACACAAACCAUUUACAAAAAUAUUAAUCUAUAGUAUCAGCAUCAGUUAGUAAAUUAUGACUGCUUUAUGUUCAGGGUCUUUCUCUGAAUCCAAUAAAAAUGGAAGGUUCUUAUGGUUUGAUAUAUGGAAGUGCCGCUGCAGCCGCUGGAGAUGCAGCACUAAAUGCAAGGUAUAGGCAUUAGAUGACAAAGCACACAAUGACACAGACUUACUGCUGAUAAGUGUUUCAAAUUUUGUACAACUUACUGCUUCUUACAUUCUUGGCGUCUAACUUCUGCUAUUUGAUCAUUAAAACUUGGUAAAAAUUUUGUGGAUACUAGAACCACACAUGUAGUUUGACUCCCAAAAGAAAUGUCUAAAAUCUCCAUAUUUCUCAGAAUUUGUUUGUCGUUUCAUACGCAUAUUGUAUUGUAAUUGUUCUGAGUUCCCAUAUUCUGCGUAAAUGCAUGGGAAGAGUUUUAAGGUGAUGGCUAAUGACUGAACCCAAGAUUUUUUUUUCAUCCAAAUUCUUUGGUUUCUUUGUUACCAGCUUCUGCAAGGAACAUACUCUAGAUCCUACCUUAAUCAAGGGUAAAAUUGUGAUCUGCACAGUUGAAAAAUUCACUGAUAACAGACGAGAGAAGGCCAUAAUAAUAAAGCAAGGUGGGGGUGUUGGAAUGAUUCUUAUUGAUCACAAUGCCAGAGAUGUUGGUUUUCAAUUUGUCAUCCCAAGCACUAUGAUUGGUCAGGAUGCUGUAGAAGAGCUUCAAGCAUAUAUGAAGACUGAGAAGUGAGUUUCAAAAAAUGUCCAAUAUCCAAUUUAGUCACACUUUGUUGGCAAAAGAUUGAUCAAUGAAAUUUUCUUUUGCUAAUGCUUUUAUUGUGCCAGGAAUCCCACUGCUACAAUCUUCCCAACAUUAACUCUUGUUGGUACCAAACCUGCACCAGAAUCCGCAGCUUUCUCUUCCGUGGGACCAAAUAUAAUUACACCGGAUAUUAUUAAGGCAAGUUUACACAGUUGACUAUGUUUAAUCCUUCAUGAAUAGCAGAUUCUUCCUAGCUAAACUCUCUAUUGGCACAAAUGGAUAAAGAAGAUACAUUGUUAAAGGUUGAUCUCAUAAUCCUUAAGCUUUUUCGGUAGAAUUAGCCUCAGUCCAAGUUCUUUUGUGAUAUCAGUGUGAAUCUUAGAUACAUUGUUAGACCAACUGUUGGAAUUUGAAAUUAAAGAAUUGACUUGACUUCCCUAUAGAUAACCCAUGAUAGGGAUAAAGGCUUUGACCUCAACCACCUGAUAGAUAUUCCAUGAUAAGGAUAUGAACAUUCAGAUGAAUAUAAAGUUUGUGAUCUCCAUGCUCGAAAUGUAUAGUCCUAGGCGUGCUGGGAAGUGCUUAGUCUCACAUUGUCUAUAAAUAUGGUCAAUGAAGUACUUAUAAAUGGGAAGACAACCUUCGCAUCUAAGCUAGAUUUCUAGGUAUAGCUAGUUAGAAUCAGCCCAAAAUAUAAUAUACUUAUGAAGCGUUCUAUCGUAUGCAGCCUGAUAUCACAGGACCAGGAGUGAAUAUUUUGGCAGCAUGGUCUCCAGUGGCAACUGAAGCCACAGUUGAACAAAAAUCUGUCAACUAUAACAUCAUUUCAGGAACAUCAAUGUCUUGCCCACAUAUAUCUGCAAUUUCAGCAAUUAUAAAAUCUCACCACCCCUCCUGGAGUCCUGCAGCCAUAAUGUCUGCAAUAAUGACAUCAGGUAAGUUGCUCAUGCUAUAAAAGUUCCAGGCGUAAAAAUAAAAAACAUGAGCAUUGAUGUUUUUGUAAUGAUCCUAAAUAAAGAAGGAUCUGAGAACAAGAGAAACUAUAUCUCUACUAAGAUUAGGAAAUAUAUCUGAUAUGUAGUUAGGAUAUUAUACAUCUCUGUAAUUAGGAUUAUAUUGUCAGUAUAUAUAAGGACACAUGGAAACUAAUCUAAGUUACCCUAUAUUUCUUGAUAAUAUAAUCCUAAUUACAGAGAUAUAGUACCCUAAUUACAUGUUAAUAUAUUUCCAAAUCUCAGAAGAGAUAUAAUUUCUCUUACACCAGAUUCUCCUAUACUAAAUCAAUGCAUUUACUUUUGGUGUUACAGCAACAGUUAUGGAUAACACACACAGCCUCAUAGGAAGAGAUCCAAAUGGAACUCAAGCCACACCAUUUGACUAUGGAUCUGGACAUGUUAACCCAGUUGCAUCGCUAAAUCCUGGAUUAGUAUAUGAUUUUAGUUCCCAAGAUGUUCUCAAUUUUCUCUGCAGCAAUGGGGCAAGCCCGGCACAACUUAAAAACCUCACAGGGGAACUCACUCAAUGUCAGAAAUCUCCUACAGCUUCCUACAACUUCAACUAUCCUUCAAUUGGUGUGUCCAACUUGAAUGGAAGUUUAUCUGUUUAUCGCACAGUUACUUACUAUGGUCAGGAACCAACAGAGUAUUUUGCAAGUGUUGAAAGACCAUCUGGUGUGAUUGUUAGAGUUACACCAGCAAAACUGAAGUUCUGGAAAGCUGGAGAGAAGAUAACUUUCAGGAUUGAUUUCACCCCUUUCAAGAAUAGCAAUGGAAACUUUGUGUUUGGUGCCUUGACUUGGAACAAUGGUAAACAAAGGGUUAGAAGUCCUAUUGGUCUCAAUGUACUAUCUACUUAAGAGUUACAUUAUUCCUGGUCUGAAUUAUUAUAUAUCAUGUUUACACGUUAAGAAGAUGGAUUUAUAUCACUUAUUAAUUAAAAAAAAAAGACGACAUUAAGGAUCACUCAAGGAUACUGAUGUGAUACAUCAUCAGGACAUUGGUUUGGGUAUCACAUAUUUCAGUAAAGCUUUGGUAGCUAAUAAUGUAUGCAAGUUGAUAUAUGAAAAAGUUAAAGAAACCAUGGCACUGGUGUUAGAUGUACCUCAUUCCUAAACCUUUUGAGGCCUUUGUUGAUCAUAUGAGACUUGAAACAUUUUCUCUGACUAUGAAUUGCCAGCACUGAUCAACAAUAUUGUUUAGCUAAUUAAAUUUAUGCGGCAUCAAUUGAAGUCAUAUAUAUAUAUACACACAAUCAGGACCAGAAAAUAAGGUUGUUGAUGCCUUAUCUCGAGUAAUAUUGGGUUGAUCUGAGUAAUAUUAAGGACGAGUUUAAACUUGUCCUAAAUCUCAGGUGUUCAAAGUUAUCAUGGUUGUAAUCAACUGUAUUUCAAAGUAUGCCAAUUUUGAACCUGUCAAAUACCAACUUACAUCAAAGAAUGUUGCAAAUAUUUUCAUCAAAGAGGUGGUUCAAGUUGGACCUCAUUAUACCAAUUGAUCAUCAUAUGUUUCAUGUCUCCCAACUCCAGAAGGAUUUUGGGAAUUAUUCGUAUGCAGUUUGAUUUGCCUCAUAGCCUGGAAGUAUAGGAUCAUAUUCCUGUUGUGGUAGAAAUGAUCUUAGCUACCCAUAAAAACAAAAGUCAAGGCAGAACAUUAACUAAAUGGCUGAUUUUAUGGAAGCAUAUGCCUAUUGAGGAAUCUACUAUAUAGGGAGGUGGAAAGUAGGACUAUUAAGGGUCAAUUUGCUGUGUCUUUCCUUGAAGUAGGUUGUUAUUCAGA